CGGGCACAACGGGAAGGCUUUCAGAAAAUGAAGGCCGGGCACGAUCUUGAAGGACGCGUGGAAUCAGGCAUCGAGAAGGGCGAAAAACCCACGUGAGACGGGUGGUUGGUGCUUCAAAUGGCAGGACGUACGGCCGAAAAGGUAGAGCAAGGCCAGACCCUAGAGGGCUUUGUGCGCCGGGGGAAGAAGGCCAGGCUUUCUUCCGCGAGUGCUGGGGGUUUACUGUAAAGAACUUUAGAGGGGGACGUCCCUGAUCAAUUUGCAUCUGGUGUCUCUGGAAAGCGGUAGGGAGAGAGCAGUCUAGGGACAAAGAUACAAGCUACGGGCUUUCAGUAAUGGUCCGAAUGGGAGGUGGAGGGGGCUGGAACCAGUGGUAGUAGAGGGGACGGGGAGGCAGUGGCAAAAUUAGAUGCUAUUUAGGAGGAACAACUAAUAAGAUUUUAUAUGUACCGGAUAUUGAAGGUAAGGAGGUGGAAACAAUAAGAAAAACAUCCCACGGAAGAGAAACAUCUCUUCAAAGACAAGACAACGUGCCCCGAAGCGGGUAUCAGACUACCGGGGUAGGAAAUCUUGGGAAAAGAUACACCUCCUCCUAAACAACUAGAUUUAAUUUCUUGUGUGUGGGAGGAAGCCCAAAAUGUGUCUGGGGACCGGGGACUGUUCUGCGGGGACUCAAGGCUGCAGACGGGCUACAGAGGAGCUGACAGGUAGCUGAGGGCCGGAUUGUGGAGCAUAGAGCUUCUGUGUUCAAGUUUACAUAUUGCUGGUGGUUCGCCUUUCAUACAGAAGGAAGAGGUGGCCCGGGGUGGGGUGGGGGGGGAGGUUCAGAACACGCUGACGUCCAAACCAAAAUCAGGAUAAUUCUGGGCUACCUCUAUAGCUCGCUUUGAUCAGGAAAGACUUGGUAAGGAAGCAUACUGCACUAGGGUCACUUCAGAAGGUUCUGUCCGGUCCCAACGGGCUCCCUUCCAAAGAGUAAUCCUAGGAGGUCGGAACUAGCUAGUCCAGAGAUGGGAGAAGCCCAGGGAGGUGGACUCAUCUCUGCUGUGGGUCAUGAAGACUAUGCUGCCAGCUUAACCUCAAUACAAGGAUAGCGGUUCUUCCAGGAUCCUCGACAUUCCGCCUUAUUGGGAACUUUGUUGUUGUUUUUUUAAGUUUAUUUAUGUAUUUUGACAGCGAGCGAGAAAGAGAGAGAGAGUGUGUGUGAGAGAACGGGGAGGGGCAGAGAAUGGGGAGAGACUGAAUCCCAAGCGGGCUCUGUGCCAACUCACAAACCGUGAGAUCAUGACCUGAGCCGACAUCGAGAGUGAGAUGCUUAACCGACUGAGCCACCCAGGCGCCCCUGGAAAAGUUGUCUUAUGGAAAAGGUUUCAUAACUAACCCAGUGGGAAGCUCUCAGGUGGUUUGACAGAAAAAGAAUCCCCAGCUGCAUUUCUCUUGUUUGCAAGGAGGCUGGUUCAACAAUCCUACCUGGCCACCCCCUGUUCCCUACCCAACUUUCUCCGCACAUCGUUUUGCCACCAGAAGAGAAGCGCUCUUAACCAAGGUUCUCCUAAGACUACCAGAUACACCAUAAUCUCCCUUUUUUCAAGAAAACACACUAACACUCGUAAUCCAUACUUCUGCUCUGACUGGCCGAGUUGUAUGGGUGGCAAGAGACCGAUGUGUUGGCUACCCGAUCUGCUUCUGUCAGUUGCAUUUAUGUAAUUUAGUUAUUAAUACAGGCAUAUCGCAUUUAAUUGCACUUCAUGGGUUUCUAAGUUUUUCUUAAGUUUAUUUAUUUGUUUUGAGAGAGAGAGCGUGCGAUCAGGGGGAGGGGCAGAGAGAGAGAGGGAAAAGGAGGAUCCCUGACAUGGGGUUCAAACUCACGAACCACGAGAUGGUGACCUGAGCUGAAACCAAGAGUCGGCCAUUUAACUGACUGAGCCACCCAUCCAAGCGUCACUCACGGAUUUUUUUUUUUUAAAGAUGAAUGAAAGGUUUAGAGCAAUCGUGCACCAAACAAGUCUGUUGGUGCCAUUUUUCCAACAGCAUUUGCUCACGUCACGUGUCUGGGUCACAUUUUGGUAAUUCUUGCAACGUUUCAAACUUUUUCAUUAUUAUUAUAUUUGUUAUGGUAAUCUGUGAUCAGGGAUUAUGACGCGCUGAAAGCUCAGAUGAUGGUUAACAUUCUCAAGCGAUAAAGCAUCUUUUAAUGAAGGUAUGUACAUUUUUUUCAACAUCAUGCUAUUGCACGUUUAAUAGACUGCAGCUUAGUGUACAUAUAACCUUUAUAUGCCCUGGGAAACCAAAAAAAAUCGAUUUUACUUGCUUUAUUGCAAUAUUUGCUUUAUUGCAGCUGUCUGGAACCAAAUGCUCAAUAUUUCUGAGGUAUGCCUGUAUGCAAACUAAUGAAAUAUGAGUGCAGAAAAGAGCAGUUUCUACGAAAACAAAGCUGAAUGCCUUGCUAUGAAUUAUAUAUUGGUGAGAAAACUGUAAAAGGAGAGGGAAAUCACAUAACAGUCCAGAAGGAUGCUGCAUUCAGAAUGCUUCCCGUAUUUUUUUUUAACUUCUUCCUCUACUUUGAAGAAAUCCAAAUGACGGGGAAGGGCGUAUGGGUGUGGUUUAUACCAGAAAGCCAAGGAGGAAGUUCAUUCCGUAGACCCAGACUCCAGGAGAAGACUUUGGCCCUGUACCCAUGACUGGCCAAUGAAGGUACAUUUGUGUUGAGUUAAAGUAAAACAGUUAACACAAAAGUAUAUACAGGAGUGCCUGGGUGGCUCAGUCGGUUAAACAUCUGCCUUCAACUGAGGUCAUGAUCUCACGGUUCAUGGGUUCGAGUCCCACGUUGGGCUCUCUGCUGACAGCUUGGAGCCUGCUUCAGAUUCUGUGUGUGUCUCUCUCUCUCUGCCCCUCUCCCCUUGCACUCUGUCUCUCUCUCUCUCAAAAAUAAACAUUAAACAUUAAAAAUAUAUAUACAUAAAAUUUUUAUAAUUUUUUUUCUGCCACUUUGCCUCUUGAUUAACAGACAAACCACAUGUCCUGCCCUCCGUCUCAACACUUACCCAUGCUUUUCGUCUCCUGAUCUUGGACUAGGUUUUCAAUUCUCUGUACAACUUGACUGCCCCUUUCUUACUUUCCCACUCAAACUCAUUCCUGAUACAGUGGCCUGGUGGGCAGUCUCCUUCCAAAGAUACUGGGUGUCUCAGCCCCUUCAGGAUCCAGGUUUUGGGUCUAAAGCUUAAAUAUAAGCAUUAAGGGACCCUCUUCAAAACAUAUAACAGUAAAUUAAAAAAUCAUAUAGAAGCGAAGAUUUAUUAAAAUGAUUUUUUUAAAUGAUAAGUUACAAAUGCUGACAAAUACAUGAACAUCAAAAAUUCCAGAACUCAUACAACCCAAUAGUAAAAAAAACCAAACGAUCCAAUUUUCAAAUAGGCAGAGGAUCUGAAUAGACAUUCCCCAGGAAGACAUCUAGACGGCCAACAGACACACGAAAAGAUGCUCAACCUCACUCAUCAUCAGGGAAAUGCAAAUAAAACAAUAAGGUGGCACCUCACACUUGCUAGAAUGGCAGUUAUCAAAAAGACAAGAAAUAGCAAAUGUUGUUAAGGAUGUGGAAGAAAGGGAACCCUCGUGCACUGUUGGUGGGAAUGUAAAUUGGUGCAGCCACUGUGGAAAACAGUAUUGAGUUUCCUCAAAAAUUUAAACACAGAACUACCAUAUAAUCCAGUUAAUUCCACUUCGGAGUAUCUAUCCAAAGAAAACAAAAACAUGAAUUUGGAAAGUUGCAUGUGCCUUCAUGUCUGCUGCAGCAUUGUUUAUAAUAGCCAAGAUAUUAAGUGUUCAUCCCUGGAUAAAUGGAUAAAGAAAUUGUGGUACGUACCUAUUUGACCUUUGAACAACAUGGGUUUGAACUGUGUGGGUCCGUUUAUGUGUGGAUUUUUUACAGUACAGUUCUGUACAUCUAUUUUCCUUCUGAUUUUCCUAAUAACAUUUUCUUUUCUCUAACUUCCUUUAUUCUAAGAGUACAGGAUAUAAUGCACAUAACACAAAAAAUUGUGUGUUAACUGACUGUUCACGUUAUUGGUACAGCUUCUGGUCAACAGUAGGAUCUUAGAAGUUAGGUUUUUGGGGAGUCAAGUUAUAUGUGUAUUUUUUCCUACAAGGGGGGCUGAUGUCCCUGAACUUCACAGUGUUCAAGUGUCGACUGUAUACAGUGGAAUACUAGUCAGCCAUAAAUAUCUUGCCAUUUGUGACACCAUGGAUGAAACUUGAGAACAUUAUGCUAUAUGAUCUCACUUAUAUAUGGAAUCCAAAAAACAAAACAAACAAAAAAUCAAGCUCAGAGAUAGAGAACCGAUGGAUGAUUUCCAGAGUGGGGACAAUUGACUAUAGUAUAUAAUAUAUACUCUUGACUAUAGUUAUAUAUAUAUAUAUAUUCGAUAUAUAGUCAGUCAAGUUGUAAAGAGAAUUGCAGAGUCCAAGAUCAGAGGACUAUAUGACUAUUGACUAUAGUAAACAAUAUCAUAUUAUUUGAAAGUUGCUAAGAGAGUGGAUCUUAAAAGUCGUUAUCAUGGGGCGCCUGGGUGGCUUGGUCGGUUGGGCGGCCAACUUCGGUUCAGGUCAUGAUCUUGCGGUCUGUGAGUUCGAGCCCCACGUCGGGCUCUGGGCUAACAGCUCAGAGCCUGGAGCCUGUUUCGGAUUCUGUGUCUCCCUCUCCCUCUUCCCCUCCCCUGUUCAUGCUCUGUCUCUCUCUGUCUCAAAGAUGGAUAAACAUUAAAAAAAAAAAGUCCUUAUCAUGAAAAAAAAUAAAACUGUGUGACUAUGUAUAAUGACAGAUGACUUAUUGUGAUGAUCAUUUCACAAUGUGUACAAUAUGGAAUCAUUAUGUCAUACACUUGAAACUAAUAUAAUGAUAUGUCAAUUAUACCUCAAUCAAAAUAAUACAGAAAAAUAACAUAAUGCUUUUUAUUAAUUAGCCACCUAACCAACUCUAUAAUACUUAUUCCCAAUUUUUUUUUUUUUUUUGCAGCAUACUCUUGGCCUUUUUAUGACACAACAUGUUCGUAAUUUCAUUUUCUAUAGAAAAAAAGGGGAUAAGUAAUUUAGUCUAUCCUCUGAUACGGCUGAUUGUUAUUUUUAUUUUUAAAUGUUUACAUUGGUAGUUUAUAAAAGUUGCUUUCAGCUUCACAAUUCUUUACCAGUAAUGACAAGCAAAUUGCUAGAAUUAUUGUCAAAUUUCAGAAAAUCUGUAUCAAGUGCCUUUCAUAUGAGAGCCGUAGGAUUUCAGAACAUUCCAAGUUUUCUUCACAGUAACUAAUUGUUAAAAUUAAGAAAGUUGAGGGGCGCCUGGGUGGCUCAGGCGGUUGAGCAUUCAACUCUUGAUUUGCUCGGGUCCUGAUCCCAGGGUCGUGAGAUCGAGCCCCAUAUGGGGCUCCUCACUGAGCGUGGUGCUUGCUUAAUAUUCUCGCUCUCUUUCUCCAUCUGCCCCUCCCCCGCUCUCACAAGUGCACUCUCUCUCAAAAAAAAUAAGUAAGUGAAUAAAUAAUAAAAUAAAAAAAUAAAAUAAAUUCAAUCAAGUAAAGUUAAAAAAAAAGAAAAUUGACGUCAUUAGCCAGUUUGUCUUGUGUAUCCAUCAGAGACAAUGCGCGACUUUUCUGUUACCUUCAUUGAUAUCUGUACCUGAGGUCAAAUCAGCAAGGAAUGAAGGAGGACGUCUGUAGAAGCAGUUGGGCAAGGUCAUCUCAGUAGAGGGAACAGCAUGGAGAAGAGCAUGCACCAGCGAAGGCAGACAGUCCAGAGCUGAUAGACAAGCAGGCAGCGGUGUGCAAAAAGCCCACAGAGUCUCACAGGGAGGUGUGAUGUGUUGCCGGCAAAUGGCUGAGGACAGACUAUCUUGAUCUUAAGAAGCUAAGAGGUCACUAAACUAUGAAAAGCACUAGAGGGUAGUUUUUAGAUCAUUACCGUUGGAGUCAGAUGAACCCCAGUUUAAAUCCUAACUCUUCCACUUCCUAGCCGCGAACGCCAGCUACCAACAGAUUAACUACCUACAGAAGUGUCUGCAAAGGACGCAGAUCGAUCCCAAGGCUACGGACUGAAUGCUUGUGCCCCCCACAAAUGUCUACGCUGAAAUCCUAACCUCCAAUAUAAUGGCAUCAGGAACUGGGGCCUUUGGGACGUAAUUAGGUCACGAGGGCGGAGUCUUUGUAAAUGGGACUGGUGCCUUUGGAAUAGAGACCCCAGAGAGCUCCCCCUGUCCCUUCCAUCCUGUGAAGACACAGCAGGAAGUCCG
Molecule: long non-coding RNA, 6271 nt
Filed under: Lynx pardinus (Iberian lynx)
Lineage: Eukaryota; Metazoa; Chordata; Mammalia; Carnivora; Felidae
Source: RNAcentral